UGGGGAAUGAUUGCACAAUGGGCGAAAGCCUGAUGCAGCAACGCCGCGUGAGUGAUGAAGGCCUUCGGGUUGUAAAGCUCUGUCUUUUGGGACGAUAAUGACGGUACCAAAGGAGGAAGCCACGGCUAACUACGUGCCAGCAGCCGCGGUAAUACGUAGGUGGCAAGCGUUGUCCGGAUUUACUGGGCGUAAAGGAUGCGUAGGCGGAUUUUUAAGUGAGAUGUGAAAACCCUAAGCUUAACUUGGGGACUGCAUUUCAUACUGGAAAUCUAGAGUGCGGGAGAGGAGAAUGGAAUUCCUAGUGUAGCGGUGAAAUGCGUAGAGAUUAGGAAGAACACCAGUGGCGAAGGCGAUUCUCUGGACCGUAACUGACGCUGAGGCAUGAAAGCGUGGGUAGCAAACAGGAUUAGAUACCCUGGUAGUCCACGCCGUAAACGAUGAGUACUAGGUGUAGGAGGUAUCGACCCCUUCUGUGCCGCAGUUAACACAAUAAGUACUCCGCCUGGGAAGUACGAUCGCAAGAUUAAAACUCAAAGGAAUUGAC
This 544-nucleotide ribosomal RNA is filed under the name uncultured bacterium. Its description in RNAcentral is "partial 16S ribosomal RNA". It matches the Rfam family "Bacterial small subunit ribosomal RNA", at positions 355 to 914 of the family's 1533-position model. The record is from RNAcentral.